RNAcentral lists this ribosomal RNA (635 nucleotides) under Escherichia coli. Its description in RNAcentral is "partial 23S ribosomal RNA". It matches the Rfam family "Bacterial large subunit ribosomal RNA", at positions 1135 to 1769 of the family's 2925-position model. The record is from RNAcentral. Lineage: Bacteria; Pseudomonadati; Pseudomonadota; Gammaproteobacteria; Enterobacterales; Enterobacteriaceae.
UAAUAGCUCACUGGUCGAGUCGGCCUGCGCGGAAGAUGUAACGGGGCUAAACCAUGCACCGAAGCUGCGGCAGCGACACUAUGUGUUGUUGGGUAGGGGAGCGUUCUGUAAGCCUGUGAAGGUGUACUGUGAGGUAUGCUGGAGGUAUCAGAAGUGCGAAUGCUGACAUAAGUAACGAUAAAGCGGGUGAAAAGCCCGCUCGCCGGAAGACCAAGGGUUCCUGUCCAACGUUAAUCGGGGCAGGGUGAGUCGACCCCUAAGGCGAGGCCGAAAGGCGUAGUCGAUGGGAAACAGGUUAAUAUUCCUGUACUUGGUGUUACUGCGAAGGGGGGACGGAGAAGGCUAUGUUGGCCGGGCGACGGUUGUCCCGGUUUAAGCGUGUAGGCUGGUUUUCCAGGCAAAUCCGGAAAAUCAAGGCUGAGGCGUGAUGACGAGGCACUACGGUGCUGAAGCAACAAAUGCCCUGCUUCCAGGAAAAGCCUCUAAGCAUCAGGUAACAUCAAAUCGUACCCCAAACCGACACAGGUGGUCAGGUAGAGAAUACCAAGGCGCUUGAGAGAACUCGGGUGAAGGAACUAGGCAAAAUGGUGCCGUAACUUCGGGAGAAGGCACGCUGAUAUGUAGGUGAAGUCCCU